Molecule: long non-coding RNA, 891 nt
Organism: Hibiscus syriacus
Lineage: Eukaryota; Viridiplantae; Streptophyta; Magnoliopsida; Malvales; Malvaceae
Exons: 3
Source: RefSeq, a predicted model, not a curated record
CCUCUUGUGCGGAUAUUGGUGGGUUUGGCGUGGCGGGAUUUGUAUUCUGAGAAAUGACUUCAAAAAGACCCAGCAGGACCAAGAAGCCCAGGAAGAACAACUCUUCUUUCAACUUCCAAACCCUAUUUUCCUCUCUUUCUUCUCCUCAGGGUCUAAAAUCAGAAACACUAGAAGGCUUGUAUUUGCUACUGCUUACUUUAAGCUGCUCUGAUUCCGAAUGCAAUUUAAAUUUCUCGGAAACCGAGUUCAGUUCCAACGAAUUCAAACUCAAAUUCAAGGAUACUCGUGAAAUCUCAGAUGUCUUACACGACAAACUCAAUGCCAAGUUCGAUGAAUUAUUCUCUGCUUUGAAUGAUGCUUCCCCCACCCGAUUCAUUCCCACUCUAUCUUCCAUGUCAAUGUUGAAGCUUCCAUUAAAGAGCUAACUUUGCUUUUGAGAUGCUGCAUUGUAGUUUUCAAACUGCUUGUUUUGGAUCAGAAACUUCUUGUCGAAAAAGGUCGAAUUAUUUUGGGGAUACUAAGGAAAUGUGUUUCUGUGGAGUUAAAGGGAGGUAAUGAAAAACCUUAUAAUAGUUUCGAAAAGGAGGUUUCGCGCAAAUGUAUGUAUGUCGAUAAUGGUGGCACUACUCUCCACGCUGAGCACUUGGUUACUUCCUUAACUUCCUUAAGUUUCGCGGAACUUUCUAAUCCAUUUCAUGCCAUUUUCUGUGCUGUGCUUGAGGUUGUUGCAGACGAGCUUCUGAUGCAUGAAUCAGUGAGGCAGUACCUUUUAUUUGUUGACUCUCUCUCUUGUGGGAAUGAGUUUGUAUUCACACGUCACUUUGGCCAUGGUAAUGUUGGAAGUGUGCUGGAGGUUCUUUCUGCUCACUUUAUACUCUCACUUUCUGAUGA